RNAcentral lists this ribosomal RNA (492 nucleotides) under uncultured bacterium. RNAcentral describes it as "partial 16S ribosomal RNA". It matches the Rfam family "Bacterial small subunit ribosomal RNA", at positions 29 to 507 of the family's 1533-position model. The record is from RNAcentral.
AGUGAACGCUGGCGGUAGGCCUAACACAUGCAAGUCGAACGGCAGCACAGUAAGAGUUUGCUCUUACGGGUUGCGAGUCGCGGACGGGUGAGACAUACAGCGGAAUCUACUUUUUCGUGGGGGAUAACGUAGGGAAACUGACGCUAAUACCGCAUAUGACUUACGGGUGAAAGCAGGGGAUCUUCGGACCUUGCGCGUUUGAAUUAGACGAUGUCGGAUUAGCUAGUUGGUGGGGUAAAGGCCCACCAAGGCAACGAUCCGUAGCUGGUCUGAGAGGAUGAUCAGCCACACUGGAACUGAGACACGGUCCAGACUCCUACGGGAGGCAGCAGUGGGGAAUAUUGGACAAUGGGCGCAAGCCUGAUCCAGCCAUGCCGCGUGAGUGAAGAAGGUCUUCGGGUCGUAAAGCCCUUUUGUUAGGAAAGAACAGCAGCGGGUGUAUCCGACGGUGUUCUGACGGUACCCAAAGAAAAAGCACCGGCUAACUUCGUG